Molecule: ribosomal RNA, 214 nt
Filed under: uncultured bacterium
Lineage: Bacteria
Description: partial 16S ribosomal RNA
Rfam family: Bacterial small subunit ribosomal RNA
Source: RNAcentral
GGUAACCUGCCUCACACUGGGGGAUAACAGUUAGAAAUGGCUGCUAAUACCGCAUAAGCGCACAGUACCGCAUGGUACGGUGUGAAAAACCCAGGUGGUGUGAGAUGGAUCCGCGUCUGAUUAGCCAGUUGGCGGGGUAACGGCCCACCAAAGCGACGAUCAGUAGCCGACCUGAGAGGGUGACCGGCCACAUUGGGACUGAGACACGGCCCAA